AUGGACCAAGAAAAGGGUAUUUUGAUUGGGAAAUUUAUGACUCUCUUGACAAGACCAAAGUUAUUUGUAUCUGCUGUCGCUGUGAUUGGAAUUGUCACAGACUAGUCGACGUGCCAGAGAAGUGAGAAGCCCAUCACCCUGCUCCUGGUUGUCAUGGUAACAGUAGACCACCCCUCUUUGGAUGGAACACGUAUGACUGUUCACCGUGCUGAAGACAUCUAAUAGGGUCGCGGGGGCAUGCUGGAGCCUGUCCCAGCUGACUUCGGGCGACAGGCGGGUACACCCUGGACUGGUCGCCAG
Dunckerocampus dactyliophorus (ringed pipefish) is the source of this 300-nucleotide long non-coding RNA. RefSeq lists it as uncharacterized. The transcript is spliced from 3 exons. NCBI's taxonomy places the organism in Eukaryota, Metazoa, Chordata, Actinopteri, Syngnathiformes, Syngnathidae. The record is from RefSeq and is a predicted model, not a curated record.